GGAGAGGUGACCGAGAGGCCGAAGGUGCACGAUUGGAAAUCGUGUGUGGGGCAACCCACCGAGGGUUCGAAUCCCUCCCCCUCCGCCA
RNAcentral lists this transfer RNA (88 nucleotides) under Myxococcota bacterium. Its description in RNAcentral is "tRNA-Ser". It matches the Rfam family "tRNA". From Rfam's summary of the family: Transfer RNA (tRNA) molecules are approximately 80 nucleotides in length. Their secondary structure includes four short double-helical elements and three loops (D, anti-codon, and T loops). The record is from RNAcentral. Lineage: Bacteria; Pseudomonadati; Myxococcota.